This 440-nucleotide ribosomal RNA is filed under the name uncultured bacterium. RNAcentral's name for it is "partial 16S ribosomal RNA". It matches the Rfam family "Bacterial small subunit ribosomal RNA", at positions 339 to 795 of the family's 1533-position model. The record is from RNAcentral.
CUACGGGACGCUGCAGUGGGGAAUAUUGCACAAUGGAGGAAACUCUGAUGCAGCAACGCCGCGUGGAGGAUGCCCCUUUUCUUAUCUUCCCCUCCUUUUAUAUAGGAAGAAGAUGACGGUACUAUAUGAAUAAGCGCCGGCUAACUCCGUGCCAGCAGCCGCGGUAAUACGGGAGGGCGCAAGCGUUACUCGGAAUCACUGGGCGUAAAGAGCGUGUAGGCGGAUUAAAAAGUCAGAAGUGAAAUCCUAUAGCUUAACUAUAGAACUGCUUCUGAAACUCUUAAUCUAGAAUAUGGGAGAGGUAGAUGGAAUUUCUGGUGUAGGGGUAAAAUCCGUAGAGACCAGAAGGAAUACCGAUUGCGAAGGCGAUCUACUAGAACAUUAUUGACGCUGAGACGCGAAAGCGUGGGGAGCAAACAGGAUUAGAUACCCCCGUAGUC